This 1552-nucleotide long non-coding RNA is filed under the name Solanum tuberosum (potato). RNAcentral describes it as "long non-coding RNA (STUB_LNC004191)". The record is from RNAcentral. Lineage: Eukaryota; Viridiplantae; Streptophyta; Magnoliopsida; Solanales; Solanaceae.
UGCAAUUAUACAAACUAUAGCUAUAACAUAUAAAUAUGAUUUUUAUGUUUGCUAUAUGUGAAAGUUGCUCUAUAAUAUAUCAAAUAAAAAAAUAUUUUGACAAGAUUUCUAAUUAAUUGAUUUGAUAAAAGGAAGUGUGUACAUUGUCGCUCUGCCUGCCUUUCAACAGUGCCUAGAGGACAGGCCAAAUGCAACAAGGCGACAACCGGUGAGUGAUGGGGGACUGGAGAUGUACAUCUCAAGGCACAUCAUGACCUACAUGUAACACCAGCAAGGCCUGAACUAAAUAUCAGUCCAAACUUUGAGGUAUUGAAAUGGGUUAACAAUCAGCCAAAACUUAAAAUGAAUUAGAUGAGUUAUAUUAUUAUCUUAUGAACUAAUUUUAUCACCUUCGAAACAACAUUUUAAAAGAAUCCGAACGACAUUUUGGACUACAUAUGCAGUAUAGUCAGUACGUUUGGUAAGUUGUGACAGUUGAUUCCCUUCCCUCUCAAAGGGGUGAGAGUCCUUAUCCAUGACAUGUCUAUCAAGUAUCAACCAACCAAUAAUAUUUCAUUCACAAUAAACCUCAUGAAAGCUAAGUCCACAAAACUCCUAACAAAAAAAAAUCACUUUCUUUUUCUCCCCCCUAAGUAUCUGCACGUGAAUUCCCAAUAAUUUCUCAUGCAUUUGUGGGGUCCCCUCCCCCACACCCCUACCCCUUUUGUUUUCAUGCCUAACUCCAUAAGAAUCUCAUUCUCUCCAACUCUUUUUUCUUCAUGUCUAUUAUAGACCUUUGUUGUGUAUGUUCAUCUAUAGAGAGCUUUAAAACAAUGUCACUUUGUCAAUAUUCCAUUGUAUUUGCUCUUCUUUUUGUAGGAGCAUUUGGAUAUGGAGAUAAUGAACUAUUUCUCCCACUCAAAACACUUCAAAAGAUGCAUCACAAACAUAAUGAGCCAAGUUGUUCAUCUCAAAAAUCAAGUAAGUCUAUUGCAAAAACAACAUUGUGUACAUAUAUUGAGAUGUGGUUAAUUAUCAAACUCUUUCUUGGGAUCUGUUAUCAUAGAUUUAGCUAUUUUUCUCUGUUUCUCAAAUCCCAAUAGACUAAACAUUAUGUGAUUUUCCAGGGAGUGAAAAUGGAGCAAUUAUACUGGAAAUGAAGCAUAAAGAUUACUGCUUUAGGUCAAGGGGUGACUUGAACAAAAGGCUGCAGAAGAGAUUGCUAGCUGAUGAUAUUCGAGUUCGUUCGAUACAAUCUAAUAUCAAGAAAAUCAGUUCUAAGCAAGUUGAGGCUUUAUCACAGACUACUACUACUCAAAUUCCUAUCAAUUCAGGUGUUACAAUGCAGACUCUAAAUUACAUUGUUACUGUGACAUUAGGCGGUCGAAAUAUGACAGUGAUUGUGGAUACAGGAAGUGAUCUUACUUGGGUUCAAUGCCAACCUUGUAGAUUGUGUUAUAAUCAACCAGAACCACUUUUCAACCCCUCUAUUUCCCCUUCUUUUCAAACAGUUGCAUGCAAUUCAUCAGCCUGUCUGUCUCUUGAAUCUGCAACUGGGAAUUCAGGAUUGUGU